Molecule: long non-coding RNA, 206 nt
Filed under: Phaseolus vulgaris (common bean)
Lineage: Eukaryota; Viridiplantae; Streptophyta; Magnoliopsida; Fabales; Fabaceae
Description: long non-coding RNA (PVUL_LNC000728)
Source: RNAcentral
UUUCCUACCCAUGGGUAUCGGGGAGCCACACUGUGAUUGCCUUGCCUUUGUGGAACUUGACCUGGGCGACGCCCUAGUUGGGCGACGCCUUAACUGGGCGAUGCCUUCACCUAGGCGACGCCUUACCUUGGCGACGCUUCCUCUUGGCGACGCUGGCACUUGGCGUCUCUUCACCUAGGCGACGCCUUAUGCUGACUUUGACCCCC